GUCCCAGUUCGGAUUGCAGGCUGCAACCGCCUGCAUGAAGUUGGAAUCGCUAGUAAUCGCGGAUCAGCAUGCCGCGGUGAAUACGUUCCCGGGCCUUGUACACACCGCCCGUCACACCAUGAGAGUCGGGAACACCCGAAGUCCGUAGCCUGACCGCAAGGGGGGCGCGGCCGAAGGUGGGUUCGAUAAUUGGGGUGAAGUCGUAACAAGGUAGC
This 215-nucleotide ribosomal RNA is filed under the name uncultured bacterium. RNAcentral's name for it is "partial 16S ribosomal RNA". It matches the Rfam family "Bacterial small subunit ribosomal RNA", at positions 1285 to 1500 of the family's 1533-position model. The record is from RNAcentral.